UUUCACUUAGCAUAAUGUCUCCCAGUUUCAUUGACACUGUUGCAAAUCUCUUUUUUUAAUAUUUACCACAAUUUAUCCAUUUAUCCAUCAAUAGACACUUAGGUUGUUUCCAUAUUUUGAGUAUUGUGAAUAACGCUGCAAUGAAUAUGUGAGCACAGAUGUCUCUGUGAGGUACUGAUUUAAUUUCCUUUGGAUAUAUAAACCAGAAGAGCAAUCGUUAGAUCAUGUAGUGGUUCCAGUUUUAAUUUUUUGAAGAACCUCCACACUGUUUUCCAUAAUAGCUGUACCAUGAAAAUUUUUAUAGUAGAAAUGUACAAUAGGAAGCAGAAUGUGAAUCUGCAUCAUAGAGAGGCCUGGGCUAGCAAUAUAAAGUAGGGCAUCAUGAGCACAUAUGAAGAGUAUUUGAAAUUGUAGCACUGAAAGAGAUAAUCCUGGAGGAGCAUGUAGAAACUGAAGAGAAAGCAAGGAUGACACAGCAGCAGUCACCUAACUCUCUUCUAUUUUUAGCUCAGAGGGUUAUUCAUUUCUUUAAGACCUAAUUUCUCAAUGACACCGACAUAACUGCUAACACCCAUGGUUACUCUCCUCUCAGGAUGCUUGCUGUACCCACACUGAUUUGUCACCAGAUUUCUUAAAGAUAAAGAAGAUAUUUCUUUGUGCCUUUGUAUCUAACACAAUGCUUCGCAUGGAUCUGUACUCAAUAAAUGUGUGUGGAUAAAAGUGAUGACUACCUGUUUUGACCAUUAGAUAAUGCAAGCUUGUAAUAGACAUGGAGCUUUAGCAAAUGCAGUGACCUAAAUCACUGGCAUCCUAAACACUUUCGUUUAUUAUAAAAAAAAAAGAAAAGAAAAAAAAAAGAGGGCUGAGAAAUAUCCAUGCUCUGAUUUAGCUGCAGGGGCAGAGACCACAUAAAAGAAACCAGAUAUUCUUACAUACAUUUUUAUGAUUAAUUUUAUAAAAGUUCCCAGCCAGGAAGCAGGUUUUCCCUUAAGACAGGUUCUAUUAUACAAAUCCAAAUGCUAUAUGGAAAUUCUGUGAGUGAAACUCUUUCUGGUUAUACUUAUUCAACUAUCCAAAGUUAAUUAAACCCUCAAUCAUUUUCCGGGGAACUGAAACGAUGAGAUGAGAUUCGAUGAUCUGAAAUUUCUGGAAUCUCCUUUCAUUUCCUUCCUUUUUCCCUGAUGGGUGAAGUAUUAGCAAUUUUUUCUCUCAUCUUGGAGAACUGCUGUUUGUAGAGGACAAAUUGCGUCCUGACUGGCAGUGCCACGAUUUCCCAGUUUCUUUCCUUCAGAAUUCUCAGAUGAAUACCAGGUGAUUUACUGUAUUUGAGUUCCUCAAAGUUACUCAAGAACUGCAUCCUUAGAGACUAUGACAUGCUUGGGUUUCCCUUAGAGAACACUUGUGUUCUGGAAAUGUAAAGAUUUCAGCCUCUACUCACCGUAUUAGAACAUAGGGCCAGACAUAUAUUUUUUUUCCCCAAAUAUGGUCUCUCUUGUGAUCUUUGGCCAUACUUUAUGAAAAUAAAAUAUGAGAAAGCAUAUUUUCACUUCAUUGAGUGGUAUAUUGUACAUACACAUAUUAUUUUAGGACCCAAAAGUCCUUGUUUAGAGUCCAAGCUCCUGUCCAGUGUUCAGAUGCUACCCCUGAAACUGGUGAGGAAAACUCUUUUGACUUUGGGAGCAUUCGCUCCUGGAAUCCAUCAGGGCUCCAGACUUUUCCAAUAAUGGCAAUUACAUACUUUGCUUUGGUUGGAUAGUGGAGUGGGCAGGUGUUUUUGUUGUUUAUGUCUACCCAGCACCCAUGUUCCCAUCUUCUGGAAAUAACCCCUCAAUGUGAGAGGGCCACCUCCAUUGCUAUUUUAAGUUUAUGCAGUUCAGAUAGAGUGGACCUCAGCACCUGGCCUAAGGAGUUAGGACAUCGUGAGAUGGGUCAAUCCCAGCAUUGCAUUAUCCUGGCCACCGUGAUUGAUUUAGGGAUGGGCAUAGAGUCAUCCAAGCAAGACCGACACUCUCAAUCCUGGUUCACUGUUGGGAAAUCCUCUAUAUAGCCUCCAGAAUGAUGGUUAUAAAAGGUCACAUCCUAUUUCUUGGCUGUCUUCAUUUCAUUGUAACCAGGAUUAAAUCUAAACUCUUACCAUGGCUCAUAAAGCCAUGGUGAUCUAAUGCCUACUGGUCUCAUUUAUCUUAUCAUCUGCUAUUUCUAUUUUUCCUAUUGAGUAUACACUAUUUUAUUUAAUUCUCAACACAUCCCCACAUUUUAUAUAUAUACAUACACACACACACACACACACACACACACACACACACACACACACACACACACAUAUAUAUAUCUUUAUAGUCACUUCACUCUACCAGGCUCAGGCUAUGCUGAUUUUCAUCUUAGAAACUAUGCACUUGAUCUUCUUUCUCCAUGCAAUAGUCUUUCCCUAGAUCCCUUGGUUGCCUCUUUUUCAUAAUAAUUCAUGUUUGAAGUCAAAUGCCCCUUAAACUUACAGGAAUUCCUGGAGAAUGAAACAAAAAUAGUAAUCAUAUUUAUUUUCUACUUCAUUACUCUGCAUUAUCUUUUCAUAUUAAUGAGUCCUCCCAAAGAUUGCAUGUGUUCACUUCUUUAUUCUCUCUCUCAUAUGACCAGAAUGUAAGCUCUUUGAGGAUAAGACUAUUAAUUAUCUAGUUCACCACUGCACAUAUCUCCUGUUCCAUAUGUAUUGGGCUCUCUGUAACUAUUUGUUCUCUGGAGGAGGAGCCGUCUUUGGCCGGGCUUGCUAUGCUGCCAGGAUAUAAGCCAGGAGUUGCUAGUGUCAAACUGUCAGCCAAAAAGCCAACAGGAGAAAUGGGAACUGUGAAAUGGAGAAGGACAGGUUCCCAAUAGUACAACCAAAGCCAGAUACCCUGGGAUAUUGGUUAUAUAAGCCAAUAAAUUCUCCUUUAUGCUUAAUUCACUUUGAGUUAAGUUUCUGUCACUUGUAACCAACAGAGUCUUUACAGAGAAGUAUGUGAAAAAAACUUGGAAAGAGCAAACUGCCAUGCUCAUGUAAAUACAAUAUUCUUGUAUAAUUUCCAUUUCUUGUCUCACCAUUUAUCUUUCUAUUUUUGUCUUUGGCCAGAAUUUUAAUUAUCUGAAAGGGUUAGAAACGCUUUCAGAUAACUAAAAUUCAGAUUUGAGGGUAUUCAGGUAAUUCAGCAGUGGAAAUGUCUUUGAGAUUUGUUUAUAAAUCACAACAUAUAUAAUUAGCUUGAUUGGGGAAAUCUUUUCCCAAUGCAUAUGUAUGUCAAAACAUCAUGUUGUAUAGCUUAAGCAUAUGCAAUAUUUGUCAAUUAUACCCCAAUAAAUCUGGAAAAAAUUUUAAAAAUAAAACACAAGCUACAGAGUAACUGACUAUUAUGGUCUAUGGUAUAUUUUUAUUGAUGUGCUUUAGUGAAUUCUUUGGGUAUCUUUCCUUUUAGGCAUGAUAGAGUAGCUGUACUAGACUGGCUCUUGCAACAAAAAAAAGGGGUAAAUAAGUAAAUUAAAAUCAAUGAUAAAAUACAAGAUACAACUUUUUUUAAGGACUUGAACAACAAGUAGUAUAGUAUUUCAGUGUAGAAGGGAAAUACACAAGAUAAGUGUCAUGAUUAUACCACAAUCACUCAGACUUUCUCCCUAUUGCAGAACAGAGAGAAGAAGCCCAUGUGGGGUAGGAAUGUCACUGAGCUAAGGAGGCAGAGAUUGGAAUUAUCAGUUUCUGGCUGAAAUUGAAUUGAAUAUCAAUUGAAGUGGCUGGAAUUUGUAGGGCAGGAUCCUGAUAAGAAAAAGUGAGGAAAUGGGGUUGAGGGGUGGAAAAGAGACUGUACAGGGAUUUAGUAAUUAUAUAAAAUAUUUUUAAAUUAAAAAUUUUUUUCUUUUGGGGGCUGCACCUGCGGCAUUGGAAUUUCCUGGGCUAGGGAUUGAAUUGGAGCUGCAGCUGCUGGCCUAUGCCACAGCCACAGCCAUGCCAGGUCCAAGUGGCAUCUGUGACUGCAGCUUGCAGCAAUGCUGGUAUUUAACCCUCUGAGCGAGGCCAGGGAUCAAACCCACAUCUUCAUGGAUACUAGUCAGGUUCUUAACCCACUGAGCCACAAAGGGAACUCCAAAGAAGAGAAAUUGGGUAAACAGUAAGUGUUGGAAACCUGGAGUGGCCAUUUUAAAGCAGACAAAACAGACUUUGAGACAAGGCAUAUUGCCAAUGAUAUCCCUAAGUUUAAAACCAUGAGUUUAUACUGAAAUGUUAAAUUUCAAUCCCAAACUUCAAGGUACUUGCCUUUCUUCCUCCUUUCCCUAUUUCUCGCUCCCUUCCCCAAGAGUGAGAAACCUGGCUCCCAUAUCCCACCAAAUAUUACUCAUUUGCUUAACCUACACAGCAGAUAGUUUCAAAAUGACUAACAAAUACCAUUAUGAAAAGCAAGCCUGCUGGGGCAGGAAAUACACAAAAGGAGCUUGGGGCCAAUGUCAGUGCCAGAAAAUAAGAUGGACUCAAAGACAAACAAAAACCCAUAUGUCAAUGGGACAGAGGAGCCAAUGCCUGGAGCUUACAGUGAACAAAGCUGGAAUGAUCUGAGCAACAAAAUGAGGUAGUACUGGAUUAAAAUCCCAAGUAAAACAUAAAUAUCCAUGAGGCCACACUUAUAAUAAUAUGUAACUAAGUAAGUAAGUAAAUGAAGGGGGAGAGACAAAUCACUCAUGAAACAAUUCCAAAUUAUUUAUGGAGAUACUCCACCACUAAGAAGGGGAAGUGUGGGCUUUGGGUGGUGAGUUUCUUUCAAAGAGUACAGUAUAGAGGGGAUAUGGAGAAACCCAAUGAACACUUUUUUCUGUGGAUAAACCCAAUGAACACUUUUUCUGCAAAGUGAUAAAGUGAAAAUUAUACUGAAAACUAAUACUGCUAGUAUGUACACUUGAUACGAUGUGAUGAAGAUAGACCUCUGAGGUUGUAUUCUAAAGACACGCACAAUCCCAGUCUAUUUGUAAGAUAAACAGGCAUAUAACAAUAGAGGAGCAUCCUGUGAAAUACCUGACUAGUGGUCCUCAAAUAUCAAGACCAUAAAAAAUAAGGGAAGUUUGAGAAAUCAUCACAGUCAAGGAGAGCCUAAAAAGACAUGACAAUUGAUGGUAUGAUUGGAUACAUUACAUUUGAUGGGACCCUAAAACACAAAAAGGACAUUAAGUUAAGUGAAGGAAACUUGACUGAAUUAUGAAUUUUAAUGAACAGUGAUAUAGCCACAUUGGCUAAUUCAUUUUUAACAUGACCUGUAGUAAUGUAAAAUGCUAACAAAGGGGAAAAUGGGCAUGGUACACAAGGGAAGUGUCUGUAUUAUCUUUUCAGUUUUUUUUUUGUGAAUUUAGAACUGUCCUAAAAAAUAGGGUCUAUUAAAAAAUAGAUUUAGUGCUGGUUGCUGAAUAAAGCUCCUACAAUAUGAAAAAAAGUAGUGGAUUACAAUCCUUCUAAUUAUUCCUCUCACCCAUUUUCUAUAAUUAAACAAAGCUGCUAAGUAAUAUUCAUAUUGGUUGAAACAA
This 5532-nucleotide long non-coding RNA is filed under the name Sus scrofa (pig). RNAcentral's name for it is "lncRNA (ENSSSCG00000050717.1)". The record is from RNAcentral. Lineage: Eukaryota; Metazoa; Chordata; Mammalia; Artiodactyla; Suidae.